This 300-nucleotide ribosomal RNA is filed under the name uncultured bacterium. RNAcentral describes it as "bacterial SSU rRNA". It matches the Rfam family "Bacterial small subunit ribosomal RNA", at positions 775 to 1067 of the family's 1533-position model. The record is from RNAcentral.
GGAUUAGAUACCCUGGUAGUCCACGCCCUAAACGAUGUGCACUAGGUCGGGGCGGUUUUGACGCCGUCCUGGCCGGAGAGAAAUUGUUAAGUGCACCGCCUGGGGAGUACGGUCGCAAGGCUAAAACUCAAAGGAAUUGACGGGGGCUCACACAAGCGGUGGAGCAUGUGGCUUAAUUCGAAGCAACUCGAAGAACCUUAUCCAGGGCUUGACAUGCACGGAUUAGUUUCCCGAAAAGGAAAUGACGCUCUUUGAGUGGAACGUGCACAGGUGCUGCAUGGCUGUCGUCAGCUCGUGCUG